CACGUAGUUAGCCGGUGCUUUUCUCCAGGUACCGUCACCCGAAAGCUUCUUCCCUGACAAAAGAGGUUUACAACCCGAAGGCCGUCAUCCCUCACGCGGCGUUGCUGCAUCAGGCUUGCGCCCAUUGUGCAAUAUUCCCCACUGCUGCCUCCCGUAGGAGUCUGGGCCGUGUCUCAGUCCCAGUGUGGCCGGUCACCCUCUCAGGCCGGCUACCCGUCGUCGCCUUGGUAAGCCAUUACCCCACCAACAAGCUGAUAGGCCGUGAGUCCAUCCACCACCGAUAAAUCUUUCCACCCACACACCAUGCGGUGAUAGGUCAUAUCCAGUAUUAGACACCGUUUCCAGCGCUUAUCCCAGAGUGAUGGGCAGGUUACUCACGUAUUACUCACCCGUUCGCCACUAAUCCACCCCAGCAAGCUAAGGCUUCAUCGUUCGACUUGCAUGUGUUAAGCACGCCGCCAGCGUCGUCCUCGUGCCACGGAGUCAACUACUCUACGUAGACGUAC
This 506-nucleotide ribosomal RNA is filed under the name uncultured Microbacteriaceae bacterium. RNAcentral's name for it is "partial 16S ribosomal RNA". The record is from RNAcentral. Lineage: Bacteria; Bacillati; Actinomycetota; Actinomycetes; Micrococcales; Microbacteriaceae.